UACGUAGGGGGCUAGCGUUGUCCGGAAUCAUUGGGCGUAAAGAGCGUGUAGGCGGCCACGCAGGUCCGUUGUGAAAACUGGAGGCUCAACCUCCAGCUGUCGACGGAAACCGUAUGGCUAGAGUCCGGAAGAGGAGAGUGGAAUUCCUGGUGUAGCGGUGAAAUGCGCAGAUAUCAGGAAGAACACCAAUGGCGAAGGCAGCUCUCUGGGACGGUACUGACGCUGAGGCGCGAAAGCGUGGGGAGCAAACAGG
RNAcentral lists this ribosomal RNA (253 nucleotides) under uncultured bacterium. RNAcentral's name for it is "partial 16S ribosomal RNA". It matches the Rfam family "Bacterial small subunit ribosomal RNA", at positions 524 to 776 of the family's 1533-position model. The record is from RNAcentral.